Molecule: long non-coding RNA, 811 nt
Filed under: Struthio camelus australis
Lineage: Eukaryota; Metazoa; Chordata; Aves; Struthioniformes; Struthionidae
Description: lncRNA (ENSSCUG00000008989.1)
Source: RNAcentral
AUGUUUUGCUUUCAAGAUGUUUUUCUUCUUUUCUUUGGUCUCCCUAUGAAAGAUCCCAGGAAGCAGGACCGAAGGGACAGCAUCGAAGAGCGCCCGUGGAACCUCGGCUGGAGAAAGAGACUUUUUUUGUCUACCGUCAACAACCGUUGCUCGGCUACUUGGAGAACCAAAAUGCAUCCGCACGUUGAAGAACCAAAAGACGUCCGAGGAGGCAAACGGAGGACGAAGGGAGAGACGGGCUGAGCGGUUUAAGAAAAGGCCAAGGUUCACAGGGUAAGCAAACCUGAAUUCUGUUCGUAAGCCAUGAAAUAAGGCAGCAGCUCUACUACAAAAUGGAGUUAAAAUCCUGAUUCCUCAGCAACUUCCUAAAAUGUCUAAGGUUAGUUUGUAAAAAUCUCUCCAAAAAACUAUCAACCAUUCAAAAUAAUAUUUUUCAGAUGUUGUCUUAAUUUUAAUACUGAAUGCUGCUUUACUAUCAGUAUCCAUGAUAGGACACUCAGAAAUAGAAAGAAUAUAACUUACAAGGCAUGUCCUCUAGCAAAAACUGUAGUCAAUAGGUCUAUAAAAAUGGGCUAAUUCAUUCCAUAGUACAAAAUUAUUUAAUUCUUAGGAGUAAAGCUUAAGAUUUGGAAGUGUAACGGAUAAAAACAAUCAUCUCUAGUUAAAAAGUGCAGAUCUGCUAACAGGAAGCGUUAGUGAAUCCUGUUCAUAUCCUGUAGUCAUUAUUACAUGCACACUUGAACACCUCCACCUAUACCCCAGUCUGCUCAUGCUUUUGAAAAUAAACAGAGCAGCCCUGAAAGGCCCUACA